GACGGAGGAUGCAAGCGUUAUCCGGAAUGAUUGGGCGUAAAGCGUUCGCAGGUGGCUGCUCAAGUCUGCUGUCAAAGACCGGGGCUUAACCCUAGAAAGGCAGUGGAAACUGGACGGCUGGAGUGCAGUAUGGGUAGAGGGAAUUCCCAGUGUAGCGGUGAAAGGCGUAGAGAUUGGGAAGAACACCGGUGGCGAAAGCGCUCUGCUGGACUGCAACUGACACUGAGGGACGAAAGCUAGGGGAGCGAAAGGG
RNAcentral lists this ribosomal RNA (253 nucleotides) under uncultured bacterium. RNAcentral's name for it is "partial 16S ribosomal RNA". It matches the Rfam family "Bacterial small subunit ribosomal RNA", at positions 524 to 776 of the family's 1533-position model. The record is from RNAcentral.